RNAcentral lists this ribosomal RNA (253 nucleotides) under uncultured bacterium. RNAcentral's name for it is "partial 16S ribosomal RNA". It matches the Rfam family "Bacterial small subunit ribosomal RNA", at positions 524 to 776 of the family's 1533-position model. The record is from RNAcentral.
UACGUAGGUGGCGAGCGUUGUCCGGAUUUACUGGGCGUAAAGGGAGCGUAGGUGGUUUUUUAAGUGGGAUGUGAAAUCCCUGGGCUUAACCCAGGAAUUGCAUUCCAAACUGGAAGACUAGAGUGCAGGAGAGGAAAGUGGAAUUCCAAGUGUAGCGGUGAAAUGCGUAGAGAUUUGGAGGAACCCCAGUGGCGAAGGCGACUUUCUGGACUGUAACUGACACUGAGGCUCGAGAGCGUGGGGAGCAAACAGG